UUAGAGACUCGGUUUCCAAUUGGGCUUUUUCAAAAUUAACGUUCUCACUCUCUCACCCUCAGUCUUACAUCUUCAUUUCCCACACUCACAGAACUCUCUCAUUCUCUCAUUUUCUCUCUAUCUCUCACACGGCCUCUCACAUUCACACACGCUCACACACACAGAGAACCCCGCCGGCGUCGACGAGCAGAGCCCAGCCCAGCCCAGCGACGACGCCGACGAGGCUGAGCCCAGCCAUCUGCUCCUCUCCUCAUCGAUCUCUCUCUCCCUCACUAGGAGAUCCUUUAUCCUUUUCUCCCUCUCUCUCAUUACCACCCCCAUACCCAUUCAUUUUUCCUCACCAUACCCAUACCCAUUCCGAUUUUGGUUGAUGACAUUCAACUCUCUUUGGCUGAAGUCAAAUUUGCUUGGUUACCCAUUCCGAUUUUGCUUGAUGACAUUGUUGCUUGGAUAGUGCAUAUUGUUGCUGCCAUCCUUAAGAGUUUCCAAAUUUCUGCCUUCAGUAUGGAUGCUGCAAAUGCUGGACGGAUUGACCAUACACGGCCUGGUCCUAUUG
Molecule: long non-coding RNA, 556 nt
Organism: Quercus robur (English oak)
Lineage: Eukaryota; Viridiplantae; Streptophyta; Magnoliopsida; Fagales; Fagaceae
Exons: 4
Source: RefSeq, a predicted model, not a curated record